GUUCUCCACUGCAGAAGUGUCGUGUGUUAAAAAUGUUAAGAAAUCAAAUAAUUCAAUAAUUACGUUCCGGGCCAUAUUGGAAUAUAAAAAAAGACUGCAGUAAUGGCCAAUAUAUUGGAUGCAAUUUCCCAAGUGACUAAAACUGAGCCUCCAGAGAAGAUACUGCGCAAUAAAUUUGGUCUUCAUGAAUAGAAAGCGGAACACCAAGGAUCAAAAAAACCUUAAGGCCUUUUAAUAUAUGGAUGUUUAAUCUUAAUUUUUUAUAUUUGUGUUUUAG
Long non-coding RNA from Drosophila kikkawai, 277 nucleotides. RefSeq lists it as uncharacterized. Lineage: Eukaryota; Metazoa; Arthropoda; Insecta; Diptera; Drosophilidae. The record is from RefSeq and is a predicted model, not a curated record.